GGGGAAUAUUGGACAAUGGGCGAAAGCCUGAUCCAGCAAUGCCGCGUGAGUGAUGAAGGCCUUAGGGUUGUAAAGCUCUUUUACCAGGGAUGAUAAUGACAGUACCUGGAGAAUAAGCUCCGGCUAACUCCGUG
This 134-nucleotide ribosomal RNA is filed under the name uncultured bacterium. RNAcentral's name for it is "partial 16S ribosomal RNA". It matches the Rfam family "Bacterial small subunit ribosomal RNA", at positions 356 to 507 of the family's 1533-position model. The record is from RNAcentral.